Triticum aestivum (bread wheat) is the source of this 1269-nucleotide long non-coding RNA. RefSeq lists it as uncharacterized. NCBI's taxonomy places the organism in Eukaryota, Viridiplantae, Streptophyta, Magnoliopsida, Poales, Poaceae. The transcript has 2 exons. The record is from RefSeq and is a predicted model, not a curated record.
UAUCUAAUUCUUCUUUAUUUAGAAGAAAAAAAAUACAUGCAAAAUCUCAACCGGAACCGUGGUCGUUGCUCCGAUUUUUCUGGUUUCUUUUUAUAGUUGCCGUCGGACAACCUUAUCCAUUUGACAGACUAUCCAUUUCUCCUCCUGUUUCAUUGACGUCCAGCUGUGGCGGCGGAUGACAUGGAUGGUCGGCAGCGCGACUGACAUGGAUGGGCGGCGGCGACCAAGAGAAGCUCGGUCAAGACGUCCAUCUUCCACCGGCCAAUGGUGCUGACGUGACUGACCAGAUUGGUUUUUGGCACGGCGACCGUGGAUGGAACAAGAUCGAAGGUGUACUCACUUCGGCGGAGCCUUGUUCUUUUUCCGUUGAUGUUGAAUCCUGCUCCAAGUUCUCCAACCGCAAGUAGCUACUUUUGAAGCCCACUAAUCACAUGCCAGGUUACACCAGGAACCACCACAGAUCUGGUAUGUGGCACGAAAGGGUUGUAUCCCCUCGUACAGGUUGGCAACUUUUUCUCGCCUAAUUUGUAGAGGGUCAAUCGAACACGAGGAUGCCUUCUAUGCCCAUAUGCCACAUUCAAACAGUCCAAAAUUCAGAUUUGGGGAUUUUUCUUCUAUUGACGGUUAGUAUGAAUUUAAUUCCAAAUUCUGGUAAACAAUUAAGGAUGCCAUCUGAUUGUAUUUUUGUGCACUUCAUUGAUUUAAUACCAACCGAUGUACUAUAAUUUGUACUCCCUCCAUUCGGAAUUACUUGUAAAAUACGUCUAGAUACAUUCAUUUUUGCGACAAGUAAUUUCGAACUGAGGGAAUACAUGCAGGGUGCAUGUUUUUGGAUGCAUUGCGCCACCGCUGACGCCACCGCUGGCCAUGUGGGGUGGAGCGGCCAUGCAUGGUGAAGUUUCAUGCAUACGCGACGAGUGAUCCCACUCGCCCGAUCUCACCCGCAGCUACAUUGUCAGCAGCCAUCCCUCGGGUGUGCUCUCUUCAAGUCUGGCACACGCUGGGGAAUAUGAUGUCAGAUUGAAGAACACAUGAAUCACCAUGAAUCUCCUAGCAACUGAUAGUGCAUGUUUGAUCCACUGUUUAAUAUACUGUGUGCAUGACAUUAGUUUGCUAGUACGUACACACGAGAAACAGUUGGCAGCUUCCUUUGCACCCAUAUAAUUGAGUCACGUUUCUUAUUGAGGAUGAUGUAUAUGUCACCUACAGAAAAAUGAUGAUGUAUAUGUACUCCUUCUGAUGCAAACGAAUUGAUUUUUCAUGAACUUA